CGGACGGGUGAGUAAUGUCUGGGGAUCUGCCCGAUAGAGGGGGAUAACCACUGGAAACGGUGGCUAAUACCGCAUAACGUCGCAAGACCAAAGAGGGGGACCUUCGGGCCUCUCACUAUCGGAUGAACCCAGAUGGGAUUAGCUAGUAGGCGGGGUAAUGGCCCACCUAGGCGACGAUCCCUAGCUGGUCUGAGAGGAUGACCAGCCACACUGGAACUGAGACACGGUCCAGACUCCUACGGGAGGCAGCAGUGGGGAAUAUUGCACAAUGGGCGCAAGCCUGAUGCAGCCAUGCCGCGUGUAUGAAGAAGGCCUUCGGGUUGUAAAGUACUUUCAGCGGGGAGGAAGGC
This 350-nucleotide ribosomal RNA is filed under the name Pantoea agglomerans. Its description in RNAcentral is "bacterial SSU rRNA". It matches the Rfam family "Bacterial small subunit ribosomal RNA", at positions 99 to 452 of the family's 1533-position model. RNAcentral also lists the same sequence under 2 other names. The record is from RNAcentral. Lineage: Bacteria; Pseudomonadati; Pseudomonadota; Gammaproteobacteria; Enterobacterales; Erwiniaceae.